RNAcentral lists this ribosomal RNA (515 nucleotides) under uncultured bacterium. RNAcentral describes it as "partial 16S ribosomal RNA". It matches the Rfam family "Bacterial small subunit ribosomal RNA", at positions 28 to 523 of the family's 1533-position model. The record is from RNAcentral.
GAUGAACGCUGGCGGCGUGCCUAAUACAUGCAAGUCGAGCGAAUGGAUUGAGAGCUUGCUCUUAUGAAGUUAGCGGCGGACGGGUGAGUAACACGUGGGUAACCUGCCCAUAAGACUGGGAUAACUCCGGGAAACCGGGGCUAAUACCGGAUAACAUUUUGAACCGCAUGGUUCGAAGUUGAAUGGCGGCUUCGGCUGUCACUUAUGGAUGGACCCGCGUCGCAUUAGCUAGUUGGUGAGGUAACGGCUCACCAAGGCAACGAUGCGUAGCCGACCUGAGAGGGUGAUCGGCCACACUGGGACUGAGACACGGCCCAGACUCCUACGGGAGGCAGCAGUAGGGAAUCUUCCGCAAUGGACGAAAGUCUGACGGAGCAACGCCGCGUGAGUGAUGAAGGCUUUCGGGUCGUAAAACUCUGUUGUUAGGGAAGAACAAGUGCUAGUUGAAUAAGCUGGCACCUUGACGGUACCUAACCAAAAAGCCACGGCUAACUACGUGCCAGCCGCCGCCGUAA